RNAcentral lists this ribosomal RNA (1413 nucleotides) under Triticum aestivum (bread wheat). Its description in RNAcentral is "partial small subunit ribosomal RNA". The record is from RNAcentral. Lineage: Eukaryota; Viridiplantae; Streptophyta; Magnoliopsida; Poales; Poaceae.
GUUCCGCAGGAGAUUCUAUGCCAUAUACACUCCCUCUUGCCACUGCAAGACGCUGCCCGUGCUGCCUGCGUGUCUCGCGGAUUUCUACAAUUCUGGAGAUGCUACUCGAAGCUCGUACUCAACCACCGUACGCUUGGGUUGACCGACAUGCAAUUUGUCAGAAGAGAAAUAAAUUUCAUGGACAAAGUUGACCAAAUUCUUGAAAACCAUCACAACAAUGGGGUUCUGGUGGAGAUACUUGAACUUGAAUAUCCCCCUUCCAGGAGCAUCAAGCCCUGCUACCUAGACAGGUGGCUCCAAAUCACAGUUAAGCCUGGGAUUAAACAACUUGACUUAUCUAUGUGUGUGACCGGUCCCGAGGAGGAAAACUACAACUUCCCGUGUUCGGUUUUGUCCAAUGGAGCAGCUGCAAGUUCAAUUCAAUCUCUUUGCCUCUCCGCUUGCAGUAUUCAUCCCACAUCGACACUUGGCGUCUUGAGAAAAUUGACAAGUUUACAUUUGAAUCUUGUCCAUACUACUGAGGAAGGAUUAGGGAACUUGCUCUCAAAAUCUUUCGCCCUAGAGCGGCUUGACCUCUGGUUUUGCCGUGGGAUAAAUUGUUUACGGAUACCUUCUAUGAUGCAGAACCUCAAAUUCCUCGAAAUUAUAGAAUGCCAAAGGUUGAAGGUGGUAGAGAUCAAUGCUUCAAAUCUUUGCUUCCUUCAUUGUGUUGGUGGUGAUAACCUGAGAGAAAUCUCGGCCAGAAAUUCUUCUCAGCUGAAGAAUGUAACUUUAUCGUCGGUUCUUCUCUCAUAUGCUCAUGCUUGGCUUCCAUCCAUCGCAAGAAAUGCUGAGAGCCUUACCCUAUGCUGUCCUACUAAGAAUGUCAACAUUUCAAGCAUGCCCUCCAAUCUUCUCCACCUGAAGAAGUUGGAUAUCGAACUCAGUCGACCAACGAUGGCGGCCUUCUGUACGAGCUACGAUGUCUUCUCUUUGCUUUCUUUCAUUGAUGCUUCUCCUGUCUUGGAUUCCUUCAUCCUGACGGUAGAGAAGAAUGCCCUUAAGGAUGAUCUUGACAUGGGAGAUGAAAACAACAAGUAUUUGGGGCGGAAGCUGGAGCGUCGGCAUGUCUGCCUCCGGCGGGUGGAUAUCAUGGGCUUUUGUGCAUCCAAGAGUCUAGUCGAGCUCACGAUCCACAUCCUCGAGAACGCACCAUCACUCGAGAACCUGAUUUUGGACACGAUCUAUGGCUACAAUAGAUGUUUGGAUACAUUUCACAAAUGCACAACCUCAACAAAGAUUAUCCAAUGCUCGCCCUUGAGCAGGGCAGACCUUGCGAGAGCUCGUAGAGCCGUGAAGGUUGCGGGAAGGUAUAUCGUGGGAAGAGUUCCAUCGUCUGUUCAGCUCGAGAUCCUAGAUCCCUGUAAUCGAUGC